This is a non-coding RNA of Schizosaccharomyces pombe (fission yeast), 695 nucleotides long. Lineage: Eukaryota; Fungi; Ascomycota; Schizosaccharomycetes; Schizosaccharomycetales; Schizosaccharomycetaceae. The record is from the annotation of a GenBank genome assembly.
UGUUAAAUGUAAUGUUAUGAUGUUUAAGAAGAAUAAACGAGCAAAGGACCCACUGAUAAAUGGUUUUCUAUUGAAUGCGGCGAUUGACAUUUAAAUAUCCUUUUCCUAAGCAUGACAUCUCCACCUGGCCUGAUUCGAGCUCUUUAAAUCUAUAUUCGCAAUUGAAAAGUGCCUUCACAUCCCGAAGAAAAACAACUAAUUGCGAAGUAAUACCAAGUUGACCCACAACUAUUGUGUUAACGUCUUCAGAGGAUAGUAGCAUCCCGGUUAAAGUUGAAGGUUGUGUAUAUGGAUCUACACAACCACCAGAUUCAAUAACUUCCAAUAAUUUCUUUGCGCAAAAGGAACCAACAUCUUCUGGUGUUUCUCCAGCUUCACCACAAUGCUCGGCAGCAUAAGAGCAACCCUUAUUAGUUUCUGCAACUAAAGUGAUAGAAUACCCAGGACUGUUACCACAUUCAUCUCCACGGCGAACGUCUGUAUAAAUGAAAACAUCGGGUAUAAAAGGAUUUAAAACUCCGCGAGCAGAUUCUACUAAGCGAUUUGCAAAAGCGGGAGAUACUCUAGUUGAAGAAGCAAUUCCUCUGAUUCGGAAGACUCUUCCAAAUUCUGAGAGACGAAUGGGAGGUAAAGACUCUUUAAUUACAGGACAUAAAAAAUUCACUUCACCUCCUCCGCCAGGAGCAGAACCACGC